CCUGCCCACAAGUCCCCGUCCCUCUGCUGAGCUGUGGCGAAGGCUCUGAGCAGCAGCUGCCAUGUGGACUGUGGCUGUGAGCCUCCUCUCAACAAGGCUUCUGGUAAAACCAAGACCUGUCCAUGGGGAAGCUCCGAGCCUUCCUUGCUGAGAUGCUGUCUGCGUGGCUGGCAUCAGGGUUGGAGCAGAGCUGUGCCUACAGGCUCCGGUCAGGCCCCCGUGGCCUGGACGGAGUCCUCACUCCCACGCCAGCCUCCCGUGCAAGCACGGGGGCAGAGGCCACACUGAGCUCAAUCCCCAGCAAGUCCUGCCCCACAACCAUUAGGCUACAGGACAUGCAAACAUGGCCAACGCAAAGCAUUCAAGUAGGAUGCUUCGUCUGACACGCCCUCAGCUCCUUUCUGAUGUGAAGCAGCACUGUGUGUUCAUCUCUUGCUGGCAUCUAAGUGGCUGGGAGAACGCUCAGAAAUUCUUUAACCUUUUUCUAAUAAUAUAAAAGUCUCAGUGCAGGGACUGUGCUGCACUCUACA
This is a long non-coding RNA of Erinaceus europaeus (western European hedgehog), 530 nucleotides long. RefSeq lists it as uncharacterized. NCBI's taxonomy places the organism in Eukaryota, Metazoa, Chordata, Mammalia, Eulipotyphla, Erinaceidae. The record is from RefSeq and is a predicted model, not a curated record. The transcript has 3 exons.